This 980-nucleotide long non-coding RNA is filed under the name Equus caballus (horse). Its description in RNAcentral is "lncRNA (ENSECAG00000030179.3)". The record is from RNAcentral. Lineage: Eukaryota; Metazoa; Chordata; Mammalia; Perissodactyla; Equidae.
GUUAACUGAGAGGUUUUGGAGUCAGACAGACCUGAGUUUGAAUCCCAGCUGUGUCACUUCCUAGUUGUGGGGUCUUGGACAAGCCAUUUCAUCUCCUCAGAGCCCACCUUCCCUCAGCUGUACCUUUUUAUAGACACAGAUCUACAGGAAUACAGCUGGGCUCUGCAGGUUUGGCCGGCCCACCAGGGAACAGGGUUCUGGCCGGGUUUAGGACACCGUGGCUUUCAGUUUGGCGAGGGCCCCAGAUAUGCCAGGGCCCAGCUGGCAAGUCCUUCCUGCUCCAAGGUUCUGAAGGUCCCAGCGGCCGGCCCUGCCCUCCAGUCUCCUCCCUCGGACCCGAGGCAGAUGGAAAUCAGAAUGCAGUGGAUCUUCAGGGUCCAGCCGCAGCAGGCCCAGAAGCCCCCAUGAUAGCCCAGGCCCCUCUGACCUCACCCCUUCUCUCUGGGCAGGUCCCAGCAGCAGAGACAGGAAUCGCCGGACCCCGGGGCCUCCGGGAGCCACGUGUGCCAGCGCAGCGCCUGCCAGCUCCCAGGCUGACCUCACAAUGGCUCCUUUCACCAGGAGAGGAGCUGGCCCGGCCCGGAGCCUGCGGGGGGAUGUCCCAGGCCCCAGGGCGUGGGGUGGGAGGUUGGAAACUGGGGAAUGGGCUGCUGAGGCUGGGAGAGCUGAAGGAUCUCAGCGCCACAUCCACCACCCGAUGUCAAGGGACUGCUUCAGGCGUAGUCUUAUGACCCAAACCAGUCCAGGGAGUUCCAUUUCCAGAUCCUGUGUUUAAACAUUUGGAGAAAUGAAUGUUUCCUCCUACUGGGCUUGGAACUGGGAGAGUGUCAGCCUGGAGCUGCCCGAAUUUGGAAAGGGCCUGCUCCAGAGUGAAGCCAACACAGGGAAAAGCAGAGAGAUGGAGGACCAAAUCCUGAUGGCAUCAUUUGAAAUCCUAGAUCCAGCUGUACCUGAAGCAGAUAAACUAAAUUUUGCAGUUU